Molecule: long non-coding RNA, 2530 nt
Organism: Mus musculus (house mouse)
Lineage: Eukaryota; Metazoa; Chordata; Mammalia; Rodentia; Muridae
Product: predicted gene, 53942
Exons: 3
Source: RefSeq, a predicted model, not a curated record
UUAUAUUCACCGCUACACAGAACCCAUCCCAAUUCUAAGGUCAAAAGAGGAUGCACUUGAGAGGAAACAAAUACAAUUCCUAUAUGAUUUCCUGGGCAGACAUCCAAGCACGGCUUCUCAGUGCACUCUCAAGUAUGACAAAGAAGCAGCUUCCCCAGGUGGUGUGCCCAGCAAGAUACCUUCAUAUUGCUUGAGGAUCUCAUCAAGGAAAAUAAGCUCGGAUACUGUCAGCAGUUCCUCACCUCUAACUGAAGACAUACAAGCAAUAUAUGGCUGCCAUGAGGAUAAUAAUCAUUAUUCUCCAGGAACAAGUCCCAAUGAAUUAUCUGGACCUAAGUGGUCAGUCCUAAGCACAUAUAUAUGUGAGCAACACUACGUGGGCUCAGCAGAACAGCAAGCACUAAUACAAGAAAGAAGGCUACCGAGCAAAAGUAGCUAAGCUCUGCCACUGCAGUCCAAGGAAGCCUUUAACUUAACCUUUCUGCUUCAGUCUCUGGAAUAUCUGGUAUGUGAGACAAAGGCUCUAACAUUACACAUUCUGACUACCACAGUAUUCAAGUUUCUGGUUUGACUUAGAGGCUAAAUGCUCUCUCAGCGCCAUCCUUUUCUUGCCCUUUAAUAGAAAUUUUGAUAAGCACCAUAUCCCCUGUAACUGACUUUAGUAAAUAUUUAAGAUACCCUAUAACUGUAGAUAUUUAACAGCCCUGUAAUUACUUCUUUGUAUGUUUCCAAACUAUGCUAGAUCUUCACAUCAAGUGUCAAUGUUUGAAUGAGAAUAUACCUCUGCAUAGGGCAAUAUAUUAGAGUGCGUGGUCCCUAGUUGUUGGAACUGUUUGGGAAGAAUUUGGAGGUGUAGCCUUAUUGAAGGUGUAUGAUACUGGGGGCAUGUUUUGAGGCUUCAAAAGUCCAUGCUGUUCCUAGUUGCCCUUUUGCUUCAUGCUUGUUGAUCAAGAUGCAUGCUCCCAGCUACAAUUCCAGAUUCAUGCCGACUUGCCUGCUGCCACGCUGCCUAUCAUGAAGGUCAAGGACUGUAACAUUGCCACGCUGCCUAUCAUGAAGGUCAAGGACUGUAACAUUCUGGAACCAUGAGCCCUCAAUGAAAUAUUUCCUUUUACAAGUUGCCUUGGUCAUGUUGUUUCAUCACAGCAAUAGAAAAGUAACUAAGAUAUUGGGAAAUUCAGUACCACUCACCUGGAGACUUUCAGGUAUUAUAGAGAUAAUCAUGCCAUUCUCAGAGUGCUUCCAGUUCCUAUUACUAUAUUUGCAUUUUAGAUUUUACCACUUUAACAACUUAAUGCCACUAUGUUAUUAUAGCCACAAAUUAUUAGUGCAGUCAUUCUGGCAGGAGAGAAUAAUUGACUUUUUGUCUGCUCUCUAAUAUAUAGAACCAUCAUUAAAAAAAAAGACGAUCAGAAAAUGCAUAAUUCAAAGUUUGGGUCAUGAAAUCAUCUGGAAACACCUUCAUUCAUGUGGCUAUUAGCUGGGAUAUUAGCUAGGUUGUCUAUCGGUGCACAUAAGUGUACAUGGUAUUUUCACAUGGAUUGUGUUUUCCAACGUGGAUGUCUCAGAGAUACAGUUUUUUUCCUAUCAAAGCAGGAAUGUCCAAGGUACAGUAUCCUAACCAAUAUAACUGAAUAUCCAUCAUCUAUUGAUAGCCCAGGAAAAGCCAUGCUAUCAUUUGCUUAACUUUGUUAUUAGAAGUAAGUCAUAAACUCAUAGGUUAAGGUGAAAGAACACCUUUUAAACUCUUUCACAAAUGAGAUAAUUUAUAACAUUAAAAAGCAUACUUCAGUGUCAUUGAAAGUGGAUAGACUCUUAAAUAAGUUUAUAAACUUUUCUCUAAAUGAUGCGAAAUAGCUAUGUUUUCAGAAUUACUUAUUUAAAACAUGUUUCUUCUCCAGAAUUUGGUAAGCAGAAUAUGAAGAGUGUCACUAAUGGCAUGUAUACACUGGUAUAACUUUGUACUCUGGAUUGAGGGAAGGGCUUAUGUCUUACUCCUAAUCAGUACCAUAUGUCCAAGAUGAAGGGCUUUGUAGAUACAAUUAAAGCCUACUUUCAGCUCUUUUAAUAAAGGUAAAUCAAAGAGGUUAAUAUCUUGAAUAAUUUUGACACAGCUAUAAAUGUUCAUUAAAAGAGUCUUGAUGUCAGAAGAAUUUUCAUCUUGCCUUGGAGAAGAAGCAAGUACUGAUAAGCUCUGUAGAUGUGAUGAAAUUAGUUCAACUAACCACCUGAGUUUGCUUAGAAGCAAGUUUACUUGUGACUUCAAAUGAGAAAACAGCAGCUCAGAUAAAACCUGACACCACCCUUGUGAAAUCUUAAGUAAAGGUCCUUGUUAAGAAGUGCCUAUACUGCUGACCUAAGUCUUGUAAGCCUUAUUAAAUCUAAAUCCUCUGGUGUUGAAUCCUGAUGAAUCCACCAUUUAAACUGGGAGACACACAUGGCUAUGUCUUGUUCUCAUGCUAUCCCUAUCUGAAAAGAGCCUCUCUCUUGCCUCCUCCUCUCUUCUGCUCUCCAACCUGGAAGUCCCUCC